RNAcentral lists this long non-coding RNA (393 nucleotides) under Heterocephalus glaber (naked mole-rat). Its description in RNAcentral is "lncRNA (ENSHGLG00100046177.1)". The record is from RNAcentral. Lineage: Eukaryota; Metazoa; Chordata; Mammalia; Rodentia; Bathyergidae.
UGGGAGCCCUGCUCAGCAGACACUCAGCCCUAGCGUGUUGCCUGCUGGUGAGGGUCUCUGCACACCAGCUCUGCAGUCAGCCCUUCAGCUUGUGCUGCAGGCACAAGCCUGGCACACAGGCAGUGCAGCCACGGCAGACCUGGAUCCCAUGCAGCCCAGCCUGGCCCACCAUGCAUCAGGGGAACCCAAGGCACUCAUUCUCCUGCCAGCCGACAGAGCACCCCGAAAGGACAGAGAGGAGCCACAGACAUGGAUGCCCUGGGCCCUACUGUUUGCCCGCUGAGCCCUGCACCAUUCUUGCACCUGGAUGUGUUGGGCAUGGGAAUGCAUCCGACCUGGGGUCAGAAGCACAGGAGGGCACGGGACCUGUCUGUCCACACCCCAGAUGCACAC